UACAGGGGGGUCAAGCGUUGUUCGGAAUUACUGGGCGUAAAGGGCCAGUAGGCGGCCAACUAAGUCACACGUGAAAUCCCCAGGCUUAACCUGGGAACUGCGUGUGAUACUGGAUGGCUUGAAUUCGGGAGAGGGAUGCAGAAUUCCAGGUGUAGCGGUGAAAUGCGUAGAUAUCUGGAGGAAUACCGGUGGCGAAGGCGGCAUCCUGGACCGACAUUGACGCUGAACGGCGGAAGCUAGGGGAGCGAAUGGG
Molecule: ribosomal RNA, 253 nt
Filed under: uncultured bacterium
Lineage: Bacteria
Description: partial 16S ribosomal RNA
Rfam family: Bacterial small subunit ribosomal RNA
Source: RNAcentral